Cornus florida is the source of this 1263-nucleotide RNA transcript. It is a transcript of the gene named chaperone protein dnaJ 8, chloroplastic, with no coding region annotated. The record is from RefSeq and is a predicted model, not a curated record. Lineage: Eukaryota; Viridiplantae; Streptophyta; Magnoliopsida; Cornales; Cornaceae. The transcript has 4 exons.
UUGGGAUUUUUGGAGAUUUAAAAAAUUGAAGAUUGAAAUACCUAAAGUAUAUUUUUUAUAAAUAUAUAUAAUUUUAGUCAAAAUUAACGAUCAGGAGCAAUUUACUACAUGAUUUUAAAUUAUAGGAAUGUAUAUGAACAGACUAAAUAGUAUGAAUGUUUUUUGUACAAUUUUUAUAUAGCACUAAUUUUUUUUUUUUUUGCACUUUACCCUAAAUUAUAGUGUAAUAAUUUUAUAAAUCUAAAAUACUUUUUCACAUUUAAAGUAAAAGAUCAAUAGUUUAAGUCUUGUUGCAGCAAAGUGAAGAAGCUUAAAUGUAUUAGAAAAUAUGUAUUACAAGCCUUUGACUUUUCUAUUACAAUACGUAUCUGGUCCUCUCUCUUUCAAAAUUUUCUUUUUUGUUUCAAGUUCAAUCCAAUUUAUUUGGGCUCUAACCUAAUUGAUAUGAACGUGUGAUGUUUAUUUAGUUUAAUUUAUUGUCAAUUCUAUGUUUUUUUUUUUUUUUUGAAUUUGUCAAUUUUAUAUUGAUUUGCAAUGUACAUUGAGGAAAAUAAUAAUAAUAACAAAAGGUGUGGUUGAAAGUUAAUUUUAUUAUUUUUUUUUAGCGGAAAUAAGUGUCAAUGAGUAAAAAAUUUUUUGGAAUUUAGAACAACUAUUUUCUUGGUGGGUCCCAAUGGCCAACAGUUACACUUCUGUUAUCCUUUCACAUUCAACACCAAAUCCGAUACCUCCGACGAGUCGAGAACUAGAAGAUGAUCAGAACUGGAAAUGGGGGCAGUUUGCGAGGAACACACAGACUCGGAGUCAUUAAACCCACUUCAAGUCCUCGCCGGUGUGUCAGAUUUCCGACAAAAUGUUUGGCGAACUUCGACUAUGCCGUCCUGGGUCUAACCCCUUUGGCCUCCAAGUCCGACGUUAAAAAUGCCUUCAGGCGAUUGGCAUUGAAGUAUCACCCAGAUGUGAUCAAAGGAGAGAACAUGUCCGAAAAGCAUCAAAUGUUCGAGACUAUAAAAUCUGCAUACGAGCACUGUCAUCAUUUUGAAUUGCCAUUCAAUUCAACUAAAUCCAGUCAGAAGAAAGCCUCACACCACAACUAGGGAUUAGCUACACAAAUCCUAUUAGCUUGCAUAUAAUAUCAGCUAAUUAUUGCGCAUAUCGGAAUCACACUAGAGCCUAACGCAAAAGUUUGAAGAUGAAGAAGAGUUGCAGGCAAGUGGGGCUUAUGAUGAAGUUGACGAAUGGGAGGAGUGGAUGGGAUUUGAA